RNAcentral lists this long non-coding RNA (2320 nucleotides) under Marmota monax (woodchuck). Lineage: Eukaryota; Metazoa; Chordata; Mammalia; Rodentia; Sciuridae. The record is from RNAcentral.
AGUUUUUUUUUUUUUUAAGUUUGGCAAAAUUCAUGCCAGGUGUGGUGGUGCAGACCUGUAAUGCCAGUGACUCAGGAGGCUGAGGCAAUAGGAUAAGUUUGAGAUUAGCCUCAGCAACUUAGUGAGACCCUCAGCAACUUGGCAAGUCACUGUUUUCAACUAAAAAAUAAAAAGAGACGGGAUGGAGCUCAUUGAUAAAGUACCUCUGGGUUCAACUUCAAGUACCAAAAGAAAGAAAAGUUUGGCAAAAUUCAGUAAUGAAGCCAUCUGGCUCUUGGCUUUUCUUUAUUGAGAGUCUUUUUUAUUAUGGAUUCAAUAUCACUAGUUUAAAAUGUAAGCAAUGAAUAUCAGGCUUAGGAGGAUCAAAAUGAGGGGUCCUGCCAGAGGCAAGAGCCAAGCUUCCUGGCCCAGGUCCACCUCUUGACUUUUUAAAAUCCCCACUGUCGUGGCAACUCCAGGUCACCUUGUCCCAUGUUGACCAGUUCCAAUUGGAUUACAGAUUUUAUGGUUGGGAGGAACCAUUUUUAUCUCCCAGAGUUUUAGGAUCUGUUCUCCUGCAGUUAAUAGAUAGUUUGCUGAAGAAUGUGACAUAUUCUGUUCAUUUAAGCCAGUCAGGACUGCAGGAAAUUGCUUCUUGGAAAAGAAAGCACAUGGGGGUCAGCAAAGGGGGACCAUUUUAUAGAAUUCUCUUAACUUCAUCUGUCUAUCUCCUAACAUUUUCCCCUCAAGGACUUUGAACCCUAAACUCUUUUAAGGUUUUUGGGUGCUGACUCAUUCUGGCUGCUUACUGAUGAGAGGGCAAAGAUGGAAGAAAGUGACUGAAGUCAUGUUCCCCAUCCUGUGGGGCAUGGAGAGUUAAGGGUACUUAGCAUCAGGAUUGUCCAGAGGUCCAUGGUAGCAGCUGGUGUGUGACUGGAUGAGGUGUUUACAGAGCAGGGAUCAUGCUAAGACAACAAUCAGUAAGACAAAGUUUUUUUUUUCUUUUUGCAAAUAUUUAGCAUGUAAGCAAACAUUAUUAUUGGAUGGUCUCUGAAAACCAUGAAGAUGGUAGCUCAUGAAAGACAGACAUGGGAUCCACAUGUAUAUCUGCGAAUGGAGGCCAGUUAAGGCUUCAGAAACAUUAGCAGAGUUAUUAGAAACAUACACCCAACAGUAAUAAUGUUUAUAAUGUCUCAGAUGUCUUCAUGAGCACACUCCCAGCACACUUAUGAAUAUCUCACAGGUCAAAGAAGAAAGUACAAGAAAAAUAAAUGAAAUGCUUUGAAAUAAGUGAUAAUAAAGCUUCAAAUAUCAGAAUCUCUAGGAUAAAACAGUACUCAGAUGAACACUUACAACAAAGUACUUGUAUCAGAAAAAAAGGCAGAUUAACAAUUGAAUUAUUUUCAAAUUAGGUAGUAGGAAAGAAAAGAUAAGAGUAGGUGCAGAAAUAUAUCAAAUAGAAAAAUAAUAUAGCUAAACAUUGAUUAAAAAAAUCUUACAGGUUUAAUGAAGAAAAAAGUACACAAGAAUUAUAUCAAUGGAAAGAGAGUUCUCAAAACAACCCUACAGAUGCUAAAAAUAUAUUAAUGUAAUAUUACAAUCGUAUGCCACCAUGUGAUAGCUUAUAUAACAUGGUCUCUUUUAUAGAAGGAUCUGUGUGCUGUUUAGAAGAAAGUAUAUUCACUCGUUGAUGGAUGAAAUAUUCUAUAAAUCUUAUAUGAAAUAUUCUAUAAAUUUUAGUAUGUAAAAUCUAAAUUUAUCAAUUGUAUUUUUAGUUCUCUAGCUUCUUUUAUUUAGUUUUUGUUUGGAGUUUCUAUCCAGUGGUAAGAGAGGCAUGUUAAAGUCACCCCGUAUUAUUGUGUUGUGGUCUCUUUGAUUCUUGAAAUUGAGAAGGGUUUGUUUGAUUUACAUAGAUGCUCUAUUGUUUGGGGCAGAAAUAUUUACAAUUGUUAUGUCUUGCUAAUGUAUAAUUCUCUUAAGCAGUAUGACGUGUCUUUCCUUGUCCCUUCUGAUUAACUUUGGCUUAAUAUCCACCUUGUUUGAUAUGAGGAUAGCUUGUUUAUAAGGUCCAUGUGAAUGAUAUGUUAUUUCCCAUCAUUUUACCUUUAGUCUGUAGAUGUCUUUGCCUAUGAGGUGAAUCAGUUGGAGGCAGCAUAUAAUUGGGUCUUGUUUUUUAAAUAGAUCUGCCAUUCAAUGUCUUUUGAUGGAUGAGUUCAGGCCAUUUACAUUCAAUGUUAUUAUUGAGAAAUGAUUUUUAUCCCUGUCAUUUUUAUUUAUUUAUGGUUUUUACUUUGAAUCAGUUUCUCCUUUGAUUGACUAUUCUUCUACUAUAGUUCCUCCG